CCUACGGGUGGCAGCAGUGAGGAAUAUUGGUCAAUGGACGAGAGUCUGAACCAGCCAAGUAGCGUGAAGGAUGACUGCCCUAUGGGUUGUAAACUUCUUUUAUAUGGGAAUAAAACGUUCCACGUGUGGGAUUUUGUAUGUACCAUAUGAAUAAAGAUCGGCUAACUCCGUGCCAGCAGCCGCGGUAAUACGGAGGAUCCGGGCUUUAUCCGGUUUUAUUGGGUUUAAAGGGAGCGUAGGUGGUUUUUUAAGUCAGUUGUGAAAGUUUGCGGCUCAACCGUAAAAUUGCAGGUGAAACUGGCAGUCUUGAGUAUAGUAGAGGUGGGCGGAAUUCGUGGUGUAGCGGUGAAAUGCUUAGAGAUCACGAAGAACCCCGAUUGCGAAGGCAGUUCACUGGACUGUAACUGACACUGAUGCUCGAAAGUGUGGGGAUCAAACAGGAUUAGAUACCCUUGUAGUC
This 460-nucleotide ribosomal RNA is filed under the name uncultured bacterium. RNAcentral's name for it is "partial 16S ribosomal RNA". It matches the Rfam family "Bacterial small subunit ribosomal RNA", at positions 338 to 795 of the family's 1533-position model. The record is from RNAcentral.